This 468-nucleotide ribosomal RNA is filed under the name uncultured bacterium. Its description in RNAcentral is "partial 16S ribosomal RNA". It matches the Rfam family "Bacterial small subunit ribosomal RNA", at positions 28 to 507 of the family's 1533-position model. The record is from RNAcentral.
GACGAACGCUGGCGGCGUGCUUAACACAUGCAAGUCGAACGGAAAGGCCCUGCUUUUGUGGGGUGCUCGAGUGGCGAACGGGUGAGUAACACGUGAGUAACCUGCCCUUGACUUUGGGAUAACUUCAGGAAACUGGGGCUAAUACCGGAUAGGAGCUCCUGCUGCAUGGUGGGGGUUGGAAAGUUUCGGCGGUUGGGGAUGGACUCGCGGCUUAUCAGCUUGUUGGUGGGGUAGUGGCUUACCAAGGCUUUGACGGGUAGCCGGCCUGAGAGGGUGACCGGCCACAUUGGGACUGAGAUACGGCCCAGACUCCUACGGGAGGCAGCAGUGGGGAAUAUUGCACAAUGGGCGGAAGCCUGGUGCAGCAACGCCGCGUGCGGGAUGACGGCCUUCGGGUUGUAAACCGCUUUCGCCUAUGACGAAGCGUGAGUGACGGUAAUGGGUAAAGAAGCACCGGCUAACUACGUG